CGAAAGUAGUGGCGAGCGAAAUCGGAUGAGCCUUUACGUUUUAGCGCGCAGGAUAGUCGAACGGAAUGGAAAGUCCGGCCGUAGCAGGUGAUAGCCCUGUAGACGAAAUUCUGUGUGUGGAACUAAGCGUAAGACAAGUAGGGCGGGACACGUGAAAUCCUGUUUGAAGAUGGGGGGACCAUCCUCCAAGGCUAAAUACUCGUGAUCGACCGAUAGUGAACCAGUACCGUGAGGGAAAGGCGAAAAGAACCCCGGAAGGGGAGUGAAAUAGAUCCUGAAACCGUAUGCAUACAAACAGUAGGAGCCUCCUUGUGGGGUGACUGCGUACCUUUUGUAUAAUGGGUCAGCGACUUACAUUCAGUGGCAAGGUUAACCGAAUAGGGAAGCCGUAGCGAAAGCGAGUCCGAAUAGGGCGAAUUAGUCGCUGGGUGUAGACCCGAAACCAGAUGAUCUAUCCAUGGCCAGGUUGAAGGCACGGUAACACGUGCUGGAGGACCGAACCCACUAAUGUUGAAAAAUUAGGGGAUGAGCUGUGGAUAGGGGUGAAAGGCUAAACAAAUCUGGAAAUAGCUGGUUCUCUCCGAAAACUAUUUAGGUAGUGCCUCAAGUAUUACUGCGGGGGGUAGAGCACUGUUAUAGCUAGGGGGUCAUGGCGACUUACCAAACUAUGGCAAACUCCGAAUACCCGCAAGUACAGCUUGGGAGACAGAGCACCGGGUGCUAACGUCCGGACUCAAGAGGGAAACAACCCAGACCGCCAGCUAAGGUCCCAAAUUAUCGCUAAGUGGGAAACGAAGUGGGAAGGCAUAGACAGUCAGGAGGUUGGCUUAGAAGCAGCCAUCCUUUAAAGAAAGCGUAAUAGCUCACUGAUCGAGUCGU
Molecule: ribosomal RNA, 879 nt
Filed under: Achromobacter sp.
Lineage: Bacteria; Pseudomonadati; Pseudomonadota; Betaproteobacteria; Burkholderiales; Alcaligenaceae
Description: bacterial LSU rRNA
Rfam family: Bacterial large subunit ribosomal RNA
Source: RNAcentral